This 492-nucleotide ribosomal RNA is filed under the name uncultured bacterium. Its description in RNAcentral is "partial 16S ribosomal RNA". It matches the Rfam family "Bacterial small subunit ribosomal RNA", at positions 29 to 507 of the family's 1533-position model. The record is from RNAcentral.
AGUGAACGCUGGCGGUAGGCCUAACACAUGCAAGUCGAACGGCAGCACAGUAAGAGCUUGCUCUUACGGGUGGCGGGUGGCGGACGGGUGAGGAAUACAUCGGAAUCUACUUUUUCGUGGGGGAUAACGUAGGGAAACUUACGCUAAUACCGCAUACGACCUACGGGCGAAAGCAGGGGAUCUUCGGACCUUGCGCGAUUGAAUGAGCCGAUGUCGGAUUAGCUAGUUGGCGGGGUAAAGGCCCACCAAGGCGACGAUCCGUAGCUGGUCUGAGAGGAUGAUCAGCCACACUGGAACUGAGACACGGUCCAGACUCCUACGGGAGGCAGCAGUGGGGAAUAUUGGACAAUGGGCGCAAGCCUGAUCCAGCCAUACCGCGUGGGUGAAGAAGGCCUUCGGGUUGUAAAGCCCUUUUGUUGGGAAAGAAAAGCAGCAGGUUAAUACCCCGCUGUUCUGACGGUACCCAAAGAAUAAGCACCGGCCAACUUCGUG